ACGGAGAGAUUCAUCGUCAUUCCAUGGCGUACGGGCGUGUUGCUCGAUGUGAUCGGCCUUGUGUCGUGUCGCACGGUACGCGUUCGUCGACGUUCGUGGACGGCGUGCACUUCUCUCUUAGUAAUGCAUCGCGACCCGUUCGAUGUCGGUCUAAGCGCCGUUCGGGAGCCCAAUCGUCCCUCUCGGGGGGCGGCUGGACCGUGACGGACGCCGACCGGCUGUCGGACGGUAUCAAUAAUGAAUCGCGCACGCGUCAUUGACGCGUCCGGCCCGACGCAAGGUAUCGCCGUUAUCGAAUUCCUGCCCAUGUGCGGACUUUGGUGCGGCGCGCCUGUUGUUGCAGCCGUGUUGUCUCGGACUGUGCGCGUAUCUGUCUGCGAUGAUUCUGUUUCGGGCACUCGCAGGACCCGUCUUGAAACACGGACCAAGGAGUCUAGCAUGUGUGCGAGUCAUUGAGAUUGAUAAACUGAAAGGCACAACGAAAGUGAAGGCGCGCGCUUGUCGCGUGCUCAGGGAGGAUGGAGCGUCGGUCUCGAUCGAUCUCUCGCACUCCCGAGGCGUCUCGUUUCCAAUCUGUGAAUGCAGGCGCGCUCUGAGCGCAGAUGCUGGGACCCGAAAGAUGGUGAACUAUGCCUGGUCAGGUCGAAGUCAGGGGAAACCCUGAUGGAGGACCGUAGCGAUUCUGACGUGCAAAUCGAUCGUCGGAACUGGGUAUAGGGGCGAAAGACUAAUCGAACCAUCUAGUAGCUGGUUCCGUCCGAAGUUUCCCUCAGGAUAGCUGGCGUCGAUUCGAACAGUCUCAUCCGGUAAAGCGAAUGAUUAGAGGCAUUGGGGCCGAAACGACCUCAACCUAUUCUCAAACUUUAAAUGGGUGAGAACUCCGGCUUACUCGAAUGAUGAAGCCGGAGAUCUGAUGACGGUGCCAAGUGGGCCAAUUUUGGUAAGCAGAACUGGCGCUGUGGGAUGAACCAAACGUAGUGUUAAGGCGCCUAAAAAACGCUCAUGGGACACCAUGAAAGGCGUUGGU
This 1027-nucleotide ribosomal RNA is filed under the name Neomusotima conspurcatalis. RNAcentral describes it as "eukaryotic LSU rRNA". It matches the Rfam family "Eukaryotic large subunit ribosomal RNA", at positions 491 to 1228 of the family's 3401-position model. Lineage: Eukaryota; Metazoa; Arthropoda; Insecta; Lepidoptera; Crambidae. The record is from RNAcentral.